Paramuricea clavata is the source of this 242-nucleotide non-coding RNA. NCBI's taxonomy places the organism in Eukaryota, Metazoa, Cnidaria, Anthozoa, Malacalcyonacea, Plexauridae. The record is from the annotation of a GenBank genome assembly.
UAUCUUGAUCAUUUUCCGAUUUGUUGGGAGACAAAUGGUGUCUCCAAAGAAAGUACAUGUGCAGACAACGUGACACUUUGGACUGCGGAAAAUUUCACAAUCCGUUAUCAAACUAUGUCACAGAAGUGGUAAGGGACUAGUGUGACAACUGAAUGGUAUCUUUUUGUAAUGUUUUUGACCAGGGGUGGGUAUUUCUUUUUUAAUUGAUAUUUGAGGUUGGGUAAUCAAAUAUUUUACUUUUU